Molecule: transfer RNA, 90 nt
Filed under: Clostridiales bacterium
Lineage: Bacteria; Bacillati; Bacillota; Clostridia; Eubacteriales
Also listed under: 1 other name
Description: tRNA-Ser
Rfam family: tRNA
About the family: Transfer RNA (tRNA) molecules are approximately 80 nucleotides in length. Their secondary structure includes four short double-helical elements and three loops (D, anti-codon, and T loops).
Source: RNAcentral
GGAGAGAUGGCAGAGCGGUUGAAUGCGCACGAUUCGAAAUCGUGUUACGGCCGAAACCGUACUGGGGUUCGAAUCCCCAUCUCUCCGCCA